GUGCUGAAUUAUUCGCCAAUGGACGAAAGUCUGACGGAGCGACGCCGCGUGAGUGAAGAAGGUUUUCGGAUCGUAAAGCUCUUUCGUUAGGGACGAACGUGCUCUUUGUGAAUAAUGAGGAGUAAUGACGGUACCUAAAUAAGAAGCCACGGCUAACUACGUGCCAGCAGCCGCGGUAAUACGUAGGUGGCAAGCGUUGUCCGGAAUUAUUGGGCGUAAAGCGCGCGCAGGCGGGAUAUCAAGUCUGUCUUAAAAGUGCGAGGGUCAACCUCGUGAGGGGACAGAAACUGGUAUUCUUGAGUGUCGGAGAGGAAAGUGGAAUUCCAAGUGUAGCGGUGAAAUGCGUAGAGAUUUGGAAGAACACCAGUGGCGAAGGCGACUUUCUGGACGAUGUCUGACGCUGAGGCGCGAAAGCUAGGGGAGCGAACGGGAUUAGAAACCCCGGUAGUCC
Molecule: ribosomal RNA, 451 nt
Filed under: uncultured bacterium
Lineage: Bacteria
Description: partial 16S ribosomal RNA
Rfam family: Bacterial small subunit ribosomal RNA
Source: RNAcentral